GACGGGAGAUGCAAGCGUUAUUCGGAUUUAUUGGGCGUAAAGGGUUUGUAGGUUGUUGGUUAAGUCUAUGGUCAAAUUCCGAAGCUCAACUUCGGGCCGGCACUAGAAACUAAUCAACUUGAGUACGUUAGAGGCAGGGGGAAUUCCCAGUGUAGCGGUGAAAUGCGUAGAUAUUGGGAGGAACAUCAAUGGCGAAGGCACCCUGCUAGGCCGAUACUGACACUGAAAAACGAAAGCUAGGGGAGCAAAUGGGAUUAGAUACCCCAGUAGUCCUAGCCGUAAACGAUGGAUACUAAACAUUGCGUGCUCGCCGUGGUGUUAUAGCUAACGCGUUAAGUAUCCCGCCUGGGGAGUAUGCUCGCAAGGGUG
RNAcentral lists this ribosomal RNA (369 nucleotides) under uncultured phototrophic eukaryote. RNAcentral describes it as "SSU rRNA". It matches the Rfam family "Bacterial small subunit ribosomal RNA", at positions 524 to 896 of the family's 1533-position model. The record is from RNAcentral.